Non-coding RNA from Physcomitrium patens, 1022 nucleotides. NCBI's taxonomy places the organism in Eukaryota, Viridiplantae, Streptophyta, Bryopsida, Funariales, Funariaceae. The record is from RefSeq and is a predicted model, not a curated record.
ACCUUACUUGUGAGCCUUGGUGAGGCUCGAACUUCUGAUUUCCUAAGCAAGUUAUCCUUGAGGUGAAAAUCCAGUGAACGGACUAUGACUUCGUUUUGGAUGUUGUGAUUACUUGAUUUCAUCUCUUUUACUUGUAUUGUGGUUGUUCCUCCUUGGUCUUCUGCCAAUUGCUUACUUCACUUCACACCACCAAUUACAAGCAACUCUUAAUUGAGGCCAUCUUGUAAUUGGGGCUGAGGAGUGAAAUUUAUACUCACACACAUGUAUAAAGGCAGCCAAGCAUUUGGAAAUACAACAACAAGGACAUGCAUCAAGACUACCUUGUGAUCCAUUAUGACUAUUUUGAACACAUAAAUCCUUGCAUACAAGGUUGUGAUUUGACAUAAAACCUAUUCAUAAUCUUCUUGUGUUUUUCACUACACAAACACAAAGCAUGAAGAAAAAGUUUUGUUAAAUGUUGUUGUGCCAACUACAUGGACCAACAACAUUUUAAACGUGUUGGUCUCGUAUGUGUAGUCCAUUAACAACAGUGUGUUAUUCUUUUUGGUCAACUCAAUUGCCAAUUGUUUUAUAAAAAAACAAGUGAGUGAUUUGGCCAGUUUGUCACAUUUCAUGUUAUGUAUAUAUUUUUUGUUUUUCAAUUUGUUAACAAGGGCUUAAAUCAGUGUCUGCCUAUUUAACGUUUGUUGUCAAACUUUUGCUUUUGCGUUGUAUAUAGUUUGAGUGGUUGCAUCAAUUUUGUUCUUGGAAUAUUGUCAAGUUUUGAAUUAGUCAAAUUUUUGAUGCCGACAUUUGCCAAACAUGUCCUAGCUCCUCCGUAGUAAAUUGGUGACACAUCAUAUGCCUAAAAAUCACUUGCAAAGUAUUGUGGUUGUGAUCUCUAUUUCUAACUACUAGAUGCCAUAGACUGUUGGUGUUUUUGCUGCAGUAGAGUCAAAAAGGACCUAGAUACAUAUAUACUUGGAACAAUAUUUGACAAAAAAUGUUCAAUGUUUAUACGAAUUAAUGAUAUUUAUUCUCAA